Molecule: long non-coding RNA, 1298 nt
Organism: Ochotona princeps (American pika)
Lineage: Eukaryota; Metazoa; Chordata; Mammalia; Lagomorpha; Ochotonidae
Exons: 4
Source: RefSeq, a predicted model, not a curated record
CCGGUAACUUUAGCGUCCUGCCGGGGAAAAAAAAACGAGGUAAAAAUUGUUGGCUAGGCCAAGUUAAGACAAGGAUGCAAGACACCUGGCCGGCUCCCAAAACUUGGCCUUAAAAAGGGGGGGGGGGGGGGAAGCCUGCAAAGCCCUGGGAGCCUGCGCAGUGAAGCGACGCGCGCAGCAGCUUUCCCGCCGGUUCCGUGCGCGGCACGGAGCUCGGGCCACACCGCGGGGGUGGGGCGCCCACGGCCCCGUCUUUGCCGGCUGGAAAAGGAAGUGCCGGAAACUUGGAGCCCCGGCCAGAGUACAACGUGUCCACCUCGGAAGAGGCCCCUCUUCUGUGAGUGGUGCUCUUCCCUUUCUAGAGUGCUUGGAGUGGACAACCAGGGUGACUGAUUGGACAUGGCAUUUGGUACACAACUGACGCAAGGAAUAUCCUAGAGAUACCCCUCCUGCUCUGGUGGACUCAGCAUGGAAGGAAGGUCAGCAGCAGCUCAGAUUGAAUGCAUCAGAUUGAAUGAGGAGUUCUGAUGAUGAAUGGGAACAAUGCUGAUCUCCAAGAAGACCCUGGAAGAGCCCCCCUGUCCUUGGAACUAAGUCACAACCCACCCCGCAACUGAUGAAACCACCACACUGAGCUGGGUUUGAAAUGAGCUGGUGCAAGCUGCGCCUCCCCUCCCUCUUCCUGGUUCUGCCUAAGGGCUCUCCAUCUGGAAGCACUUAAAAUGUACAACAAUUUUAAUCCCAGGCAAGAAGAGCUCAGGAUGCACACACCAUACCCAUUAAGCUACAUGUGCAGCACAUACUCCUGGUUUGCACAAUUCUCUCUGGCCUCCACGUGCACACGCUGUCUUUCCCAGUUACUUUCCCCACUCUCCGCUAUCUGAAACUACCUCAACCCGAGGCCCAACCUUUCGCACAGAAGCUCCGGCCUCUGCUGUCACUGCUGCCCUGGGCUCUGAGACAAAGGAGCCUUCCGUAGAGCCCCUUGAAUUAGGCCUUCGUGGGUGCUUAGGAUCCUGACCAAGGGCAGUCCUGUGAACUCCACCUCUCCUUGAUAGAGCUGGGUACAAGUACCAGCUUGUUACCUUAUAACUGCAUGACUUUGGCAGAAUUACUGUUAUAUUUCCUGUGUCCCAGUUUCCCAAUCUGUAAAAUGGGUAUAAUAAUUAUACUCACCUCAAACAGUUGUUGUAAGGAUUAAAUGAAAUACUGCCUAUGAAAAUGUGGGUACAAAGGAUCAGAAAUACUGCUCAAAGGGUACAAAGUUCAGUGAGGAGGAAUAAGCUUUAGAGAUCUAU